CCUACGGGUGGCAGCAGUGGGGAAUAUUGGUCAAUGGGCGCAAGCCUGACCCAGCAACGCCGCGUGAAGGAAGAAGGCUUUCUGGUUGUAAACUUCUUUUUUCAGGGACGAAGCAAGUGACGGUACCUGAGGAAUAAGCCACGGCUAACUACGUGCCAGCAGCCGCGGUAAUACGUAGGUGGCAAGCGUUAUCCGGAUUUACUGGUUGUAAAGGGCGUGUAGGCGGGACGGCAAGUCAGAUGUGAAAACCACGGGCUCAACCUGUGGACUGCAUUUGAAACUGUAGUUCUUGAGUACUGGAGAGGCAGGCGGAAUUCGUGGUGUAGCGGUGAAAUGCGGAGAUAUUAGGAGGAACACCGGUGGCGAAGGCGGUCUGCUGGACAGCAACUGACGCUGAGGCGCGAAAGCGUGGGGAGCAAACAGGAUUAGAUACCCGGGUAGUC
Molecule: ribosomal RNA, 443 nt
Filed under: uncultured bacterium
Lineage: Bacteria
Description: partial 16S ribosomal RNA
Rfam family: Bacterial small subunit ribosomal RNA
Source: RNAcentral